AUUGAACGCUGGCGGCAGGCCUAACACAUGCAAGUCGAACGAGCGGCGGACGGGUGAGUAAUGUCUGGGAAACUGCCCGAUGGAGGGGGAUAACUACUGGAAACGGUAGCUAAUACCGCAUACCAUCGGAUGUGCCCAUAUGGGAUUAUCUAGUAGGUGGGGGAACGGCUCACCUAGGCGACGAUCCCUAGCUGGUCUGAGAGGAUGACCAGCCACACUGGAACUGGGACACGGUCCAGACUCCUACGGGGGGGAGCAGUGGGGAAUAUUGCACAAUGGGCGCAAGCCUGAUGCAGCCAUGCCGCGUGUAUGAAGAAGGCCUUCGGGUUGUAAAGUACUUUCAGCGAGGAGGCGGUACUCGCAGGAGAAGCACCGGCGAACUCCGGGCCAGCAGCCGCGGUAAUUC
This 406-nucleotide ribosomal RNA is filed under the name uncultured bacterium. RNAcentral describes it as "partial 16S ribosomal RNA". It matches the Rfam family "Bacterial small subunit ribosomal RNA", at positions 30 to 526 of the family's 1533-position model. The record is from RNAcentral.